GAUGAAUGCUGGCGGUGUGCCUAACACAUGCAAGUCGAGCGGCAGCGCGUCUAGUUUACUAGAUGGCGGCGAGCGGCGGACGGCUGAGUAACGCGUGGGAACGUGCCCCAAAGUGAGGAAUAACUGCCCGAAAGGGUAGCUAAUGCCGCAUAUGAUCUUCGGAUUUAAGUCUUCGGACGCUUUGGGAGCGGCCCGCGUCGGAUUAGGUUGUUGGUGAGGUAAUGGCUCACCAAGCCGACGAUCCGUAGCUGGUCUGAGAGGAUGAUCAGCCAGACUGGAACUGAGACACGGUCCAGACUCCUACGGGAGGCAGCAGUGAGGAAUCUUCCACAAUGGGGGCAACCCUGAUGGAGCAACGCCGCGUGAAGGAUGAAGGCCCUCGGGUUGUAAACUUCUUUUAUGAGUGAAGAAUAUGACGGUAACUCAUGAAUAAGCACCGGCUAACUACGUGCCAGCAGCCGCCGUAA
Molecule: ribosomal RNA, 467 nt
Filed under: uncultured bacterium
Lineage: Bacteria
Description: partial 16S ribosomal RNA
Rfam family: Bacterial small subunit ribosomal RNA
Source: RNAcentral